Molecule: ribosomal RNA, 509 nt
Filed under: uncultured bacterium
Lineage: Bacteria
Description: bacterial SSU rRNA
Rfam family: Bacterial small subunit ribosomal RNA
Source: RNAcentral
AUUGAACGCUGGCGGCGUGCUUAACACAUGCAAGUCGAACGCGAAAGGGACUUCGGUCCUGAGUAAAGUGGCGCACGGGUGAGUAACGCGUGGAUAAUCUGCCCUUAUGAUCGGGAUAACAGUUGGAAAACGGCUGCUAAUACCGGAUACGCUCAAAAUGAACUUUUUGAGGAAAGAUGGCCUCUGCUUGCAUGCUAUCACGUAAGGAUGAGUCCGCGUCCCAUUAGCUUGUUGGCGGGUAACGGCCCACCAAGGCAACGAUGGGUAGCCGAUUUGAGAGGAUGAUCGGCCACACUGGAACUGAAACACGGUCCAGACUCCUACGGGAGGCAGCAGUGGGGAAUAUUGCGCAAUGGGCGAAAGCCUGACGCAGCGACGCCGCGUGAGGGAUAGUAAGGUUUCGGAUCGUAAACCUCUGUCAGAAGGGAAGAAACUACGUUGUGCUAAUCAGCAGCGUACUGACGGUACCUUACAAAGGAAGCACCGGCUAACUCCGUGCCAGCCGCAGC